This 265-nucleotide ribosomal RNA is filed under the name uncultured Staphylococcus sp. Its description in RNAcentral is "partial 16S ribosomal RNA". It matches the Rfam family "Bacterial small subunit ribosomal RNA", at positions 96 to 355 of the family's 1533-position model. The record is from RNAcentral. Lineage: Bacteria; Bacillati; Bacillota; Bacilli; Caryophanales; Staphylococcaceae.
CGGCGGACGGGUGAGUAACACGUGGAUAACCUACCUAUAAGACUGGGAUAACUUCGGGAAACCGGAGCUAAUACCGGAUAAUAUAUUGAACCGCAUGGUUCAAUAGUGAAAGACGGUUUUGCUGUCACUUAUAGAUGGAUCCGCGCCGCAUUAGCUAGUUGGUAAGGUAACGGCUUACCAAGGCAACGAUGCGUAGCCGACCUGAGAGGGUGAUCGGCCACACUGGAACUGAGACACGGUCCAGACUCCUACGGAGGCAGCAGCC